Molecule: ribosomal RNA, 531 nt
Filed under: uncultured bacterium
Lineage: Bacteria
Description: bacterial SSU rRNA
Rfam family: Bacterial small subunit ribosomal RNA
Source: RNAcentral
UGGGGAAUCUUGGACAAUGGGGGCAACCCUGAUCCAGCCAUGCCGCGUGAGUGAUGAAGGCCUUAGGGUUGUAAAGCUCUUUCACCGGUGAAGAUAAUGACGGUAGCCGGAGAAGAAGCCCCGGCUAACUCCGUGCCAGCAGCCGCGGUAAUACGGAGGGGGCUAGCGUUGUUCGGAAUUACUGGGCGUAAAGCGCGCGUAGGCGGACUGAUCAGUCAGGGGUGAAAUCCCGGGGGCUCAACCCCGGAACUGCCUUUGAUACUGUCAGUCUUGAGUCCGGAAGAGGCGAGUGGAAUACCGAGUGUAGAGGUGAAAUUCGUAGAUAUUUGGGAGGAACACCAGUGGCGAAGGCGGCUCACUGGCUCGAUACUGACGCUGAGGUGCGAAAGUGUGGGGAGCAAACAGGAUUAGAUACCCUGGUAGUCCACACCGUAAACGAUGAAUGCCAGUCGUCGGGUAGCAUGCUAUUCGGUGACACACCUAACGGAUUAAGCAUUCCGCCUGGGAGUACGGUCGCAAGAUUAAAAGCUC